RNAcentral lists this ribosomal RNA (1146 nucleotides) under uncultured bacterium. RNAcentral describes it as "bacterial SSU rRNA". It matches the Rfam family "Bacterial small subunit ribosomal RNA", at positions 108 to 1305 of the family's 1533-position model. The record is from RNAcentral.
GAGUAAGGUGGUGACUGCCCGGAGGGGGAUACAGGCGAAGUUUGUUAUACGGAUUGAGCAAGGGAAGAUUAGAAGUCUCUUUGUAAGGAGUAAUCGUUUCUGGGAGGGGCUGGACCCAUCAGUAGUUGGUAAGGUAACGGCUACCAAGGGGAUGAGGGUAGGGGACCUGAAGAGGGUGGCCCCCACAAUGGAACUGAAACACGGUCCAUACACCUACGGGUGGCAGCAGUAGGGAAUAUUGCUAAAUGGGCGAAAGCCUGAAGCAGCAACGCCGCGUGUGCGAUGAAGGCCUUCGGGUUGUAAAGCACUUUUGACUGGGAAGAGGAAGGACGGUACCGGUCGAAUAAGCCUCGGCUAACUACGUGCCAGCAGCCGCGGUAAAACGUAGGAGGCGAGCGUUAUCCGGAUUUACUGGGUGUAAAGCGCGUGCAGGCGGUUGGCUAAGUUGGGUGUGAAAGCUCCUGGCUCAACUGGGAGAGGUCGCUCAAGACUGGUCGACUGGAGAGCAGUAAGGGAAGGUGGAAUUCCGGGUGUAGUGGUGAAAUGCGUAGAUAUCCGGAGGAACACCAGUGGCGAAAGCGGCCUCCUGGCCCAAAACUGACACUCAGACGCGAAAGCUAGGGGAGCGAACGGGAUUAGAGACCCCGGUAGUCUUAGCUGUAAACGAUGCGGACUUGGCGUCGGUGGGUUAAAAGCCAUCGGUGCCGAAGCUAACGCGAUAAGUCCGCCACCUGGGGACUACGGCCGCAAGGUUAAGACUCAAAGGAAUUGACGGGGGCCCGCACAAGCAGCGGAGCGUGUGGUUUAAUUCGACGCAACGCGAAGAACCUUACCAAGGCUUGACAUAUACCUGAAAGGCAGAGAAGUCUGCCCUUCCUUCGGGACAGGUAUACAGAUGCUGCAUGGCUGUCGUCAGCUCGUGCCGUGAGGUGUUGGGUUAAGUCCCGCAACGAGCGCAACCCCUAUUGCCAGUUGUAUUCUCUGGCGAGACUGCCUCGCACAACGGGGAGGAAGGUGGGGAUGACGUCAAGUCAGCACGGCCCUUAUGCCCUGGGCUACACACACGCUACAAUGGGUGGUACAAAGGGUAGCAAUAGAGUGAUCUGGAGCUAAUCCUAAAAGCCAUCCUCAGUUCAGAUUGCAGGC